Molecule: ribosomal RNA, 420 nt
Filed under: Triticum aestivum (bread wheat)
Lineage: Eukaryota; Viridiplantae; Streptophyta; Magnoliopsida; Poales; Poaceae
Description: partial small subunit ribosomal RNA
Source: RNAcentral
UCGCUGUCCCAGUUACCAUCUUCAAAUAUAAUGACUUUCAAAGGGUACCAGAUAAAUGGGAAUACAUUUUACACGAUCGCCCAAGAUAAGAAGAGCACCAACCAAAACAGUGGUGUCCACUUUGAUGCAACAACCAACACAGGAAAGGAAACAUAUUAUGGUUACAUAGAGGACAUAUGGGAACUUAACUAUGGAGGUGGUUUGAAGGUCCCUUUGUUUUGGUCCAAAUGGGUCAAUAUGACACGAGGCGGGGUAAAGGAAGACUCGCAGUACGGAAUGACAACAGUGGAUCUCAACAAUCUUGCGUAUGCAGACGAACCAUUCGUCCUAGCCAAUGAUGUGGCGCAGGUUUUUUAUGUGAAAGACAUGUCUACCAGGCCGAGAAAAAGAAAAGAUAAGGAAGCGAAUAGAUCAAACGAC